AUGCGAUAAGUAUUGUGAAUUGCAGAAUCCAGUGAAUCAUCGAAUCUUUGAACGCACAUUGCGCCCGCCGGCAUUCCGGCGGGCAUGCCUGUUCGAGCGUCAUUUCGACCCUCACCCCCAUUAAGGCGGGUGGCGUUGGGGUGUCCGCGUCACUGCGGAGGCCCUCAAGUUUAUAGGCGGUCCCAUCGAGUCCCCGAACGCAGUAAAAUCACUAUCGUUCGGCGGCCACGGCGGCGUUCUUGCCUUUAAACAUCCAACUUUUAAAAGGUUGACCUCGGAUCAGGUAGGAAUACCCGCUGAACUUAA
This 306-nucleotide unclassified non-coding RNA is filed under the name uncultured Ascomycota. RNAcentral's name for it is "partial contains 5.8S ribosomal RNA, internal transcribed spacer 2, and large subunit ribosomal RNA". The stretch from base 1 to 102 matches the Rfam family "5.8S ribosomal RNA", at positions 53 to 154 of the family's 154-position model. The record is from RNAcentral. Lineage: Eukaryota; Fungi; Ascomycota.